CGUAGGGUGCGAGCGUUAAUCGGAAUUACUGGGCGUAAAGCGUGCGCAGGCGGUUUGUUAAGAUAGGCGUGAAAUCCCCGGGCUCAACCUGGGAACUGCGCUUAUGACUGGCAAGCUAGAGUACGGCAGAGGGGGGUGGAAUUCCACGUGUAGCAGUGAAAUGCGUAGAGAUGUGGAGGAACACCAAUGGCGAAGGCAGCCCCCUGGGUCGAUACUGACGCUCAUGCAUGAAAGCGUGGGUAGCAAACAGGAUUAGAUACCCUGGUAGUCCACGCCCUAAACGAUGUCAACUAGGUGUUGGGGGGGUAAAACCUUUUAGUACCGGAGCUAACGCGUGAAGUUGACCGCCUGGGGAGUACGGCCGCAAGGUUA
Molecule: ribosomal RNA, 372 nt
Filed under: uncultured organism
Description: bacterial SSU rRNA
Rfam family: Bacterial small subunit ribosomal RNA
Source: RNAcentral